Molecule: long non-coding RNA, 192 nt
Filed under: Numida meleagris (helmeted guineafowl)
Lineage: Eukaryota; Metazoa; Chordata; Aves; Galliformes; Numididae
Description: lncRNA (ENSNMEG00000013661.1)
Source: RNAcentral
UGUUAUUUCUGUGUUGUCAUGUUGCAGACCUGAGACUUUUGGAUGAAGGGUGAAGCUGAAGGAAACAGAACUGAAUAACAGUUCUCAAAAGCAGAGGCCUGAAAAAUCAUAACUUUCUUCUUUUCCUCUAUGAAACUGGAUGCGUCAUAUGUAACUCAGGACUUAGAAGAAAACCUUUCUGAUUUGUGAAAG